This 435-nucleotide ribosomal RNA is filed under the name uncultured bacterium. RNAcentral's name for it is "bacterial SSU rRNA". It matches the Rfam family "Bacterial small subunit ribosomal RNA", at positions 958 to 1392 of the family's 1533-position model. The record is from RNAcentral.
AACGCGAAGAACCUUACCAAAGCUUGACAUCCCGAUGAAUACCCGAUAAAGAGGGGGCUAGGCUUCGGCCACAUCGGAGACAGGUGGUGCAUGGUUGUCGUCAGCUCGCGUCGUGAGAUGUUGGGUUAAGUCCCGCAACGAGCGCAACCCUUGUCGCUAGUAACCAUCAUUAAGUUGGGGACUCUAGCGAGACCGCUGUGGAUAACACAGAGGAAGGUGGGGAUGAUGUCAAAUCAUCAUGCCCCUUAUGCUUUGGGCAACAAACGUACUACAAUGGCCGAUACAGAGAGAAGCGAAGUAGCGAUAUGGAGCGAACCUCAAAAAUCGGUCUCAGUUCAGACUGCAGUCUGCAACUCGACUGCAUGAAGUCGGAAUCGCUAGUAAUCUCGAAUCAGAAUGUCGAGGUGAAUACGUUCCCGGGUCUUGUACACACCG